This 184-nucleotide non-coding RNA is filed under the name Eubacterium pyruvativorans. RNAcentral describes it as "Lysine riboswitch". It matches the Rfam family "Lysine riboswitch aptamer". From Rfam's summary of the family: Riboswitches are metabolite binding domains within certain messenger RNAs that serve as precision sensors for their corresponding targets. Allosteric rearrangement of mRNA structure is mediated by ligand binding, and this results in modulation of gene expression. The record is from RNAcentral. Lineage: Bacteria; Bacillati; Bacillota; Clostridia; Eubacteriales; Eubacteriaceae.
UGAGAUAGAGGAUGCGUCUUAUGAUGAGUAACGCUGCCGAUGUGAUACGGAACAGGCAGCGCGGAAGGCAUGGACGCCGAAGACGGGCAGAACCGUGUGGCUGCCUUGUCUGGGCGGACGGACUAAGAGUCGUCCGACUGUCGCACUUCAUUUCGUAGAGAGAGAUGACUGCGGAGCGCUAUCC